This 243-nucleotide unclassified non-coding RNA is filed under the name Hevea brasiliensis (rubber tree). The record is from RNAcentral. Lineage: Eukaryota; Viridiplantae; Streptophyta; Magnoliopsida; Malpighiales; Euphorbiaceae.
GAUCCGACCAUCCUGAUCCAAAUCAGCUCGCCGAAAAUAGGCGUCAAAUUGAUCCAUAUUCGGACUCUGAUUCUGUGCAGCCAUUAGUCAAUUGAGAUAUCUUCCCCCGAUUGAUUGCGGUUCUGAAUUAGAUCUGUGGGUAAAGCAAUCGUUAUCGAAUCAUUUAUAGCAAAGUUUGAUCUAAAAACUCAAAGGGUUUUAGAAUGUCAGCCGACGGCGACUUGCCGGUGCCGGAGGCUAGAG